RNAcentral lists this transfer RNA (61 nucleotides) under Robertsicus elaphensis. Its description in RNAcentral is "tRNA-Leu". Lineage: Eukaryota; Metazoa; Arthropoda; Arachnida; Ixodida; Ixodidae. The record is from RNAcentral.
UUCAAAUUGACAGAACAUUGUGUUAAAUUUAGAAUUUAAUUAUGAAGAAAUUCAUUUGAAA